Molecule: non-coding RNA, 2098 nt
Organism: Camelina sativa (false flax)
Lineage: Eukaryota; Viridiplantae; Streptophyta; Magnoliopsida; Brassicales; Brassicaceae
Source: RefSeq, a predicted model, not a curated record
UGAUUCGAUUCGUUUUCUCAUUCUGAUUCUUCUUCUUUUUUUUUCUACAUCCUCAUCCAUCUUCUGAUUCGAUUCCUCUUCAAGCAAAAAGGGAAGAGCGGGAGAAGAAGGUCCGGACCUUAAUGUCAAUGCGAUGAUCUAUUAAACCUUAACUUAGUUAUCCAGGGAUACGAAUAAGUUAAAGGUUUGAUUUUUAUCUGAUGUCGCAUAGUUUUGGCUAGAUUUGGUUUCGUAUCAAAUUUGAAGAUUUCUCUUAAAGAUAGCCGGUUAAGCUAUUAGAGUUAUCAAACUGACAAGGAAUUAGACUAAGUUUAAGUUUUUAUUUUCAUUUGAGGUCAGAUACGUUUGGCUAGAUUACUCUGGUUUGGUUUAAAUCACUGUGAAAUUUGAAGCUUUCUGAUGAAAUUAGCCGUGAUUCUUUCUACAACUACAGAGAGUUCAGGUUAAAGUUUCAAACUUUUUAGUAUCUGAAGACGUUUUGGAGGAGCAUUAGCUUUUAAAUAGUUACCUAGAUAUGAUAUGUUAGUACCUUUAAAUCUAAGUUUAGGUUUGGUUCUCGUCUGAGCUCAAUGUGUUUCUUGCGAGAUGAGUUUGAUCUCACAGGUCUAAUUACUGUGCCAUAUUUGAAGUUGCUGAUGAAGCUUUCCAAUGUUUGAUUUUUAUCGGAGUGUCAAGUAUAUUUGGUUAGAUGACUCUGAGUUGUUUAAUCACUGUGUGUAAUUUGAAGCUUUAUCUUGAAAUUAGCCGUAGAAGUCGUUUAAGCUGAUGAAGUUAUCCAGGGAUAUGACUAAGUUUAGGGUUUGAUGUUCAUCUGAUGUCGCAUAGUUUUGGCUAGAUUUGGUUUAAGUUAGCCGGUUAAGCUAAUAAAGUUAUCCACUCACAAGGAGUAAGACUAAGUUUAGGUUUUUGUCUACUCAGGUUUUAUGAUAUGUGAUCUUGUAUACCUGUUAUCUACUAGCAUUCGGAGAUCACAACAUAAUCUGCGGCAUUUCUUGGAAUUAUGGUCUUGAUCAACUAUGUUCCUUCUGCCUCUCUUUGAUUAGAAAACUCUGUGCCUUUAAAUCAGUCAAAUGGUUAAAAAAAAAAAAAAACAAAGCUUGAAACUUGAUGCAUGCUAUAGAACUAACGAGAAGGUGAGGCUGGAUUUUUAGUGAAUCUCAUUGAUCUUUUCUGAAUAUCGAUAAGACUUCAUAUAUAUGCAACUUUAGUCAAAUUUGUUAUCAACUAAGUUUCAGGAUUUUUACAUGGCUGGCUUUAGAUACUAGAUUCUUUAGGUGGAAAGCUAACAACUUUAACUCCAUUUUGGCAAAGUAUUGAUCAUCAUUCGCAUUUGUUUCUACACUUGAUUUUUACCUUUCUCUAAUUUUGUGACAUGGUGUGUAGCUUGACUGAUCGGAGCUCAAUCUUUCUCGAUUUAUAAUUGUGAUGAUUGCGAUGAUUGCGUUUAAGUUGUUAGCUUUCCACGUAAAGAAUAUGGAGGAUACGCUGUGCAGCCAGAUAAAUUGCCAAAUUACGUAGUCCCUCAUCUCACUUCGUAAAUAGCCGAUAGUAUGUUGCUUACUUCGUAACUGAACAGGAAAACAAUCUUUGAGAAAUCUUCUUUCAAGUCGUAUUGGUCGAAGCUCCUUAGGGGGGUUUGUGAUCCUGAUUAAUAUAUUGGUUCGUUGUAAGUUUUUGUGUUAGGAACCUGAAAUGGGAAUGCAUACUUUAAUUACGUUAUGCUUGUUAUGUGAUUUAGCUGCUCUACUGAUGAAUGAAUAUAUAUAUAUUGGAUUUAACAGCUGAAACCAUAUGUAUCUCAGUGUCCUAUACAAGUGAACACAAACGAGUCAACCAAGCUUCCAAGUAACCAUCAGGAGAUAGAGAUCAAGGGGAGUGGGAACCUGCAGCAGACAUAAUGGAAGGGAACGAAUCAUCCGAAGACGAGACAUAAUAGCAGUAUGAAGAGUCACUUUUACCAUUUCCCUUUCAUCUGUUUUGUUUCUUUGAUGAUAAUAUGAGUGUGAAGCUUGCUAGUUGCAAAUAGUGUUACUUUUAGUAGAUUAUAAAUGUAUACAGUACGUUGAUUAUUAAUUUUCAGCACAGAGAAUCACUGAAA